UCUCAUACACUCUGCAAAUAAGCUGGUAAGUGACAGGGAAGGCAGUAUGAUAAUUAGCACUGUGAUUCCCUGAGCAGCUGCUCCUUGCCAGGCAAAUUCCUAAGGGCUUUGGCUGCAUGUUGGCUUGAUCCUCAUUAACCUGUGAAAUCUGUAUGACAACCCAAGAGGUGCUGACGCUUACUAUUUCCACCCAACAUAGGAAAGAAAGUAGAGGCAAAUAAACUCAGUGAAUUGUUCAAGAUGGCACAACUAAGCUUGACAGCCUAUAAUCCUAACUUCGGAGGAGGUAGACUCAAGAGGAUUGUAAGUUCAAGGUCAAGCUGCAAAACACACUGUGAGCAAGGGACAACUGCAAACCAAGAAAGAUGGCUUUACAUAUUACGUUCUCUCACUGUGGCAUUUGGUCUAUCAAUAUCUACAUACAGUAUUCAUGGAAUCAUCAUGUUUGCUACAUGACAGAACUCAGUCAUUGCCUAGCAUAUGGUAUUUCUAUAAAAAUAAAUCUUAUAUGAUGACAUUAAUUCAGACAGCACUGGUAGGAUUUACUCAAUGCUUUAAAAGACCUACAGGAGUAUAAUCAGCUAUGUAGCUUCUCUUCACUAUGCGUGAGAGUACCUGCUAAAGGUAUCUCCUUCAUUUAUUAAGUUAAAGAUUUUUUCCUAAACACAUUAGUCUUCUACCAAAUUCUAUGUCCAACAAUUAGAGUAUUUGAGCUACUCUGCAAGCAAAGACAUUUUCCUUAAGAUUUAUCUCUGCUUUUUCUGAUGACCAGGGUAAGUCUAUUAUUUUCCCUAUGGCUUAAGAACCCAGUUAGGCAUUAAGCCACAUUUCUCUCUAAAUGCCGUACAUACACAAAAAACCCAUUAGACUCAUGCAUUAUGUUCAGAAGGAUAAUUAGAGUAAUCACAAUCUACGCACAGCCUCUGCAGAAGCAUUUUUGAUUGAAGGUGCUAGCAAUCGACUGUUUCUAUUUAGAACCAGAAAGAACAUGAACUUAUGAUUAGUGGCAGCUCUUUCGGCAAAGAAAGCCUUUGCUCUCUUGAAUACUUGAAAUGUGCCACAUGUCUGGGUAGGAGUUACUGUAUAUGCUAUGCUAAUAAUGAUCUGAGAAAUUUGGCUAUCCAUUUAAGAGGAGCAACCCUGUUGUUAUUAGUUUCUUAAUUCAUUCAAAGUUCUAUUGGCACAAAUUAAAACACAACUCUUGCUGUC
Molecule: long non-coding RNA, 1209 nt
Filed under: Mus musculus (house mouse)
Lineage: Eukaryota; Metazoa; Chordata; Mammalia; Rodentia; Muridae
Description: long non-coding RNA chr12:68332621-68333830
Source: RNAcentral